RNAcentral lists this ribosomal RNA (253 nucleotides) under uncultured bacterium. RNAcentral describes it as "partial 16S ribosomal RNA". It matches the Rfam family "Bacterial small subunit ribosomal RNA", at positions 524 to 776 of the family's 1533-position model. The record is from RNAcentral.
UACGUAGGGGGCAAGCGUUGUCCGGAAUCAUUGGGCGUAAAGCGCACGUAGGCGGCCCUGUAAGUCCGUUGUGAAAGUCAAAGGCUCAACCUUUGAAUGCCGAUGGAUACUGCAGGGCUAGAGUCCGGAAGAGGCGAGUGGAAUUCCUGGUGUAGCGGUGGAAUGCGCAGAUAUCAGGAGGAACACCAAUAGCGAAGGCAGCUCGCUGGGACGGUACUGACGCUAAGGUGCGAAAGCGUGGGGAGCAAACGGG